Molecule: ribosomal RNA, 496 nt
Filed under: uncultured bacterium
Lineage: Bacteria
Description: partial 16S ribosomal RNA
Rfam family: Bacterial small subunit ribosomal RNA
Source: RNAcentral
GAUGAACGCUGGCGGCGUGCCUAAUACAUGCAAGUCGAGCGAACAGACGAGGAUCUUGCUCCUCUGACGUUAGCGGCGGAUGGGUGAGUAACACGUGGAUAACCUACCUAUAAGACUGGGAUAACUUCGGGAAACCGGAGCUAAUACCGGAUAAUAUAUUGAACCGCAUGGUUCGAUAGUGAAAGAGGGUUUGGCUGUCACUGAUAGAUGGAUUCGCGCCGCAUUAGCUAGUUGGUAAGAUACCGGCUUACCAAGGCAACGAUGCGUAGCCGACCUGCGAGGGUGAGCCGCCCUGAGAGAACUGACAGACACUUCAGAACCGUGAGGGAGGCAGCAGUACGGCAGGAGGCAGCAGGGGCGAAAGCUGCACGGUGCAACGACGCGUGAGUGAUGGACGUCGCGGGAUCGUAGAACGCUGUUAUGAGGUAAGAACCAAUGUGUAAGUACGUAUGCACGUGUUGACGGUACUUGAUCAGAAAGCCACGGCUAACAACGU